RNAcentral lists this non-coding RNA (159 nucleotides) under Aureimonas flava. Its description in RNAcentral is "Aureimonas sp. M2BS4Y-1 6S RNA". It matches the Rfam family "6S / SsrS RNA". From Rfam's summary of the family: E. coli 6S RNA was the first non coding RNA to be sequenced, but its function was unknown until recently. The record is from RNAcentral. Lineage: Bacteria; Pseudomonadati; Pseudomonadota; Alphaproteobacteria; Hyphomicrobiales; Aurantimonadaceae.
GGCGGGCUGCGCGGUUCGACAGGGAUAACAUAUUCCCCGGGGCCUUACGCAUCCCUAAGGGAGCUGUUCCUGCCUCGGCCCGUGGGCUGGGGCAUACGGCGCCCACCUACUCUGUAGGUUCCCGGGAUCGAUCUUCUCAUCGGCCGAGGUGGCUCGCCA